RNAcentral lists this ribosomal RNA (531 nucleotides) under uncultured soil bacterium. RNAcentral's name for it is "bacterial SSU rRNA". It matches the Rfam family "Bacterial small subunit ribosomal RNA", at positions 28 to 573 of the family's 1533-position model. The record is from RNAcentral.
AAUCAACGCUGGCGGCGUGCCUAACACAUGCAAGUCGAACGUGAAAGCCCCGCAAGGGGUAAGUAGAGUGGCGCACGGGUGAGUAACACGUGGAUAACCUGCCUUGGAGUGGGGAAUAACCUCCCGAAAGGGGGGCUAAUACCGCAUAACACCUUUAGACAAAAGUCAAAGGGUUAAAAGGAGCAAUUCGCUCAAAGAGGGGUCCGCGCCUGAUUAGCUAGUUGGUGAGGUAACGGCUCACCAAGGCUUCGAUCAGUAGCCGUCCUGAGAGGGAGCACGGCCACACUGGAACUGAGACACGGUCCAGACUCCUACGGGAGGCAGCAGUGGGGAAUUUUUGGCAAUGGGCGAAAGCCUGACCAAGCAACGCCGCGUGGGUGAUGAAGUAUCUUGGUACGUAAAACCCUUUCGGCAGGGACGAACUCAAUGACGGUACCUGCGGAAGAAGCCCCGGCUAACUCCGUGCCAGCAGCCGCGGUAAUACGGGGGGGGCAAGCGUUGUUCGGAAUUACUGGGCGUAAAGGGCGCGUA